Molecule: non-coding RNA, 97 nt
Organism: Acanthosepion pharaonis
Lineage: Eukaryota; Metazoa; Mollusca; Cephalopoda; Sepiida; Sepiidae
Source: the annotation of a GenBank genome assembly
UAAAACAGUGAUUCCCUUAUGAUCACCGAAGUUAAGCAACAUUAAGCCUGGCAGGUACCUUGAUGGGUGACCGCUUGGGAAUAUCAGGUGCUGCAAG